GACGAACGCUGGCGGCGUGCCUAAUACAUGCAAGUCGAGCGGAAUGAUGAAGAAGCUUGCUUCUUCUGAUUUUAGCGGCGGACGGGUGAGUAACACGUGGGCAACCUACCUUGUAGAUUGGGAUAACUCCGGGAAACCGGGGCUAAUACCGAAUAAUCCAUUUUGCUUCAUGGCGAGAUGUUGAAAGACGGUUUCGGCUGUCACUAUAAGAUGGGCCCGCGGCGCAUUAGCUAGUUGGUAGGGUAACGGCCUACCAAGGCGACGAUGCGUAGCCGACCUGAGAGGGUGAUCGGCCACACUGGGACUGAGACACGGCCCAGACUCCUACGGGAGGCAGCAGUAGGGAAUCUUCCACAAUGGACGAAAGUCUGAUGGAGCAACGCCGCGUGAGUGAAGAAGGUUUUCGGAUCGUAAAACUCUGUUGUAAGGGAAGAACACGUACGAGAGUAACUGCUCGUACCUUGACGGUACCUUAUUAGAGAGCCACGGCUAACUACGUG
Molecule: ribosomal RNA, 500 nt
Filed under: uncultured bacterium
Lineage: Bacteria
Description: bacterial SSU rRNA
Rfam family: Bacterial small subunit ribosomal RNA
Source: RNAcentral